AUCCAGCACGAGGACUACGCACAUUUCGCCAUCUUUAUUGUGGUUAUGGAUGUUCUCUUCUCCUCCUGGCCUCUUUAGUCUUGAAAAAUAUGAUCCUUUUGGGUCUGCGCUAACCUUUUGCACUUAAGACGAAGCAGGAUAGAAGAAAAGAAUUAGAACAGCACCCCACUAGUUCAGCCACAACUACCUCACGUUCUGGUUUGCCCUCACUCAAGAUGGCCACCAGCGAAAUGGUGCAAUGACGUGACAUCGCUGCCCUGGUUGCCAAGGAGACGUGAAUACCGGAAAUGCGGAAUUCGGGGAGGGCGCGCGCGCGCGCAAGAACUGUAGGCAACGGCCUCGGCGUCACAGGUCCUGACAGGGAAGAAGUUGGCAGGUCCUGACAGGGGAGAGCUGUGGCGGCAUCACCUCCGCGUACAGACUGUUCCAGUGGGAUGGAAUCGCUAGUCGUGGACGCCGGGACCAGCGAGACUGAGCUAGCCCCUGGUGGGAGUGUGGUUGUUGGCCGCACUACUUCGGAGCCUGCAGUCUCGACGCCCCUGGGAGCCGCCCGGUGGAAGCUCCUGCGGCAGGUUCUGAGGCAGAAGCACCUGGAUGAUUGCCUGCAACGUGUAUCUGUAAGAAGAUUUGAAUCAUUUAAUCUGUUUUCAGUAACAGAAGCCAAGAAAACAGAAAUUGAAGGGGAGGCUGGUGCAUGGGUCCAAUAUACAAGUGUCUUCUAUCCUGAAUAUAGUAUUUCCUUAAGACAGAAUCAUGGAUCCUUGAAUGUUGAAGAUGUUCUUACCAGCUUUGACAAUACAGGAAAUGUCUGUGUCUGGCCAUCAGAGGAGGUUUUGGCUUACUACUGCCUCAAGCACAGAGAUGUUUUCAGGGACCUUGCUGUGUGUGAGCUAGGGGGUGGCAUGACAUGCUUGGCUGGGCUCAUGGUUGCUAUUUCUGCAGAUGUCAAAGAAGUUCUGUUAACUGAUGGGAAUGAAAAGGCCAUCAGAAAUGUGAGAGACAUCAUUGCAAGGAAUCAGAAGGCUGGUACAUUUAAGACUCAGAACAUUUCAAGCAGCGUUUUACGAUGGGAUAAUGAGACAGAUGUCUCUCAACUGGAAGGACAUUUUGACAUUGUUAUGUGUGCUGACUGUCUGUUUCUGGACCAGUACAGAGCCAGCCUUGUUGAUGCAAUAAAGAGAUUACUCCAGCCCAUGUGCUGGGGAUUGAACCCAGGGCCUUGUGUUUGCAAGGCGAGCACUCUACCAACUGAGCCAUCUCCCCAGUCCCAGAAGGACAUUCUAAGCCUUAGAAGAAGAGGACAAGAAGUAGCUUCCCUGGUGGAAGGGAAAAGCAAUGGUGUUCGCCCCACUCCGAGGGAAUACUUUAAACCAGUUUUGCAAUCUAGCUGAAAAAGCUGGUUUCUCUCUCCAAAAACAUGAAAAUUAUGAUGAACACAUUUCAAACUUCCACUCCAAGUUGAAAAAGGAAAACCCGGAUAUCUAUGAAGAAAACCUUCAUUACCCCCUUCUGCUUAUUUUAACCCAAAAUGGAUAGAAGAGUACGCUUCUCAGAAGACGAAGGAAACACUGAAUGCACAAGGAAUAAUUUUAUGAAAGCAGAAAUCUGCAAUGGGUGUAAUAUGCAGCAAGCCGUUGGUUCCCUGAGAUUUUUGAGUGGGUCCCAGGACUCGGGCCCUCACCCACUCUUUGACAUUCCACCUAUGGGUUCUGUGUUAUGGACUCCUCCCAAGCUAACCCACAUUACUCCCUAGCCAUCGCACCUGUCUCCUUCACCUCUUUUUACAGUCUGCUUGUUGCUUUUCCUGUAUCAAACCUUUGUUUGUCUUUAAAUAUGUAUAAGCACCCUGUCUGAGAUUUGAAUUUGACUUGUGAGCAACCUAACCUUCUGAAACAGAAUUUCUUUUGGUGAUUCUUUCCCCCACUCCUUUUUUUUUUUUUUUUUAAAGGUCUUUGUUCUGUUUUGGUGAUGAUAGUUUUUAAUCUGUAAACAUAGUAAACAUCAUAAUUCUUUCCAUAAAAAAAAAGUACAUCUUUCUGAUCUCCCUCUAAUAAAUUGUAUUAAAUUUGC
This is an RNA transcript of Sciurus carolinensis (gray squirrel), 2070 nucleotides long. It is a transcript of the gene named calmodulin-lysine N-methyltransferase, with no coding region annotated. The transcript has 12 exons. NCBI's taxonomy places the organism in Eukaryota, Metazoa, Chordata, Mammalia, Rodentia, Sciuridae. The record is from RefSeq and is a predicted model, not a curated record.